UACGGAGGGUGCAAGCGUUAUCCGGAUUUACUGGGUUUAAAGGGUGCGUAGGUGGGUAGGUAAGUCAGUGGUGAAAUCCCCGAGCUUAACUUGGGAACUGCCAUUGAUACUAUCUGUCUUGAAUGUUCUGGAGGUGAGUGGAAUAUGUCAUGUAGCGGUGAAAUGCUUAGAUAUGACAUAGAACACCAAUUGCGAAGGCAACUCGCUACGGAAUGAUUGACACUGAGGCACGAAAGCGUGGGGAUCAAACAGG
Molecule: ribosomal RNA, 253 nt
Filed under: uncultured bacterium
Lineage: Bacteria
Description: partial 16S ribosomal RNA
Rfam family: Bacterial small subunit ribosomal RNA
Source: RNAcentral